Molecule: long non-coding RNA, 409 nt
Filed under: Ananas comosus (pineapple)
Lineage: Eukaryota; Viridiplantae; Streptophyta; Magnoliopsida; Poales; Bromeliaceae
Description: long non-coding RNA (ACOM_LNC021691)
Source: RNAcentral
AGUGCAUGAGAAAUACAUAUAUAGCAGAAGCGUGAGGAGGAGAAUAUAUAUAAAUGAUGAUAAUAGUCUAAGAAGUAGAAGAAGGAUAAGGAGGAGGACAACGAUGGAUAAAACGAAAAAGGAAGAAGAGGAGAAUAAGAAGGAGAAGUGGAAGAAGGAGAGUAAAGGAAGAAUGAGAAGUAGUAGUAGUAGUAGAAGAAGAGGAAGAAAUAAUGAGAGGAAAGGGAAGGUAAUUAAGAGCUUCAACGUGGUAAUAAUCACCAAACAUGCAUCGAUCCCACACCCCUUCCCCACCUUGCACGCUUGUGUUCUUUCUUUGUCGCACUACAACGCCUUCUACUGCAUAUGAGACUGCGUGGACUUCGCACAGGAUGUUCGGAGAACAAGCAUUUAUAACUUCAUUUUCGCC